UACGUAAGUGGUGGAAAUUAAACCAAAUGGGAUAUCUUUAGUAAUUGCGAAUGAACAAGGAUAUGCUUAGCUUGACAAAUGGAGCUAUUGGCUUUGAAUUGUAUUUGUGGAAUGUAUUACCAACAGAGGUGCAGGUGCCAGCCUAUUAAAUAAAGCGUCAAUGAGGGUGAGAAUCCUGUUUGUCAUGUGCAGCCCUUUGUGCACGGUGUAUAUUUGCUGAGUCACACUCCUUGGCAUUGGAAUGCAAAGUGGGUGGUAAGUUUCAUGUACAGGUAAACAUGCAAUUGAGACUGAUAGCACACAAGUACCAUGAGGGAAAUAUGAAAAGGACUUUGAAAAGAGAAUUAAAUGAGUUUGUAUUUGCUGAACACAAAGUAAACAGACUUGAUUUGCUUGGUGGGAGUGUUGCACUUGCUUGACAAGAGCUUUGGGCUGUGGGUGUAAUGAUUCUUUCUUUGCAUGCCAGUUUCUAUGUGUACAUCUGAUUACCUUUGCACAUGAAUGAUAAGUCUCCUGUGGGGGGUGGAUUGCAUGUGCAUGUAAUGAUUUGUGUUUUGAUAAAUGUGUCUGGUGUAUGUGUGUGUGUUCCUGUGCUUGGGGAUGCUUCCUUCCUUGGACUUACAAGCCCUGACACACACAUGCUGGCAAAAUGCUUCUGCUUGACCCG
This 667-nucleotide ribosomal RNA is filed under the name Alexandrium fundyense. Its description in RNAcentral is "LSU rRNA". It matches the Rfam family "Eukaryotic large subunit ribosomal RNA", at positions 43 to 651 of the family's 3401-position model. The record is from RNAcentral. Lineage: Eukaryota; Dinophyceae; Gonyaulacales; Pyrocystaceae.